ACCAUAUUUCCGGUUGAAAGUGAAUUCAAUCCAUUUUUUACCUGAACAUUGAUGUCACUUUAAUUCAAGUCAAGAGUUUCAAGUGUUUCAAAACGAGUGUAGAAUGUCGACGACGCAGCAACAACCGCCACCGCGAAAGGGCAAUUAUGCAAAGGUAUUGAGAAAUUUACAUGCGGAGCAGUUGUCCAAGGUACAAUGGAAACACCAACAGGAAUGCGAACUCCUCGAAGACUUGCGAAAUUUCAUCAAGCAAAGAUGCGCCGUCGAGAAAUCCUACGGCGAGGCCAUGCAGAAGAUAUCGGCCAAUUACCUCAACAAGAAAAUGCCGCCCAUUCACGAACUGAAUCACGACGAAAUCAACCAGCAAUGGACGGUUUGGUCAAUAUGGAGAUCUUUGCUGGAGGAAACGGAUAAAUUGGCAAAGGCCAAAUUGGCCGCUGUCGAAAUAUUCCAAACGCAAAUCGCAGACGACGUGAAAAUCGUCCGUCAAAACAAACUCCAAUUGGCUAAAAAGAAUCUGGACCUAUUGAAAGUGGUGCAAGGUGAAGUGCAAACUUGCGUGACUGAAUUGGACAAAUUGAAAAAAGUUUACGUCGACGACGAACAUGUCAGUCACGACGCUCGUGACAAGGCCCGCGAAGCUGAGGAAAAGCUAAAGAAGAAAAAGGGUAGCAUCUUCCAGUCGGUUUCCUCUUUACAGAAGACAUCGGCCAAAUUGGGGAGUCGAAGGGAUUUGUGCGAGGAGAAAUCGACUCAAGCCAGAAACGCCUACCUGCUUCAACUUGCUUCAGCCAACGCCCAUCAGAAUCGAUACUUUCACGUUGAUUUGCAAAACGUCGUCAAGACGUUAGACGGCGGAAUGUACGAAAAAGUGGCCGAAUACUUUUCCAUUAUGAGUCGGACGGAACUUUAUACUUGCUCCGCCUCUCAAUUCUCUUUCGGCAAAAUUAAAGAGCAAGCCCAAACCAUCAAUCGCGACUACGACCUGGCCUGUUUCGUCGACGCCUUCCCAAUUCUCAAUCAGCAUAUCACUUACGACUUUGAGCCUUGUGACAAUGACGUCAUCACGACGGUGGAUCAAGCUCACGGAGCUGGUGCCGGAUUGAUUCAGAGUGGAAAACAAUAUGCAUCUCGUGUCGCCCAAGAAUCCAAAAAGAUCAGAGAAUCGACGAGGACACUGCAAACUCUACAGGGCAUGAAAGAGAGUGGCUUGAAGAGUGAUCCGAAUGAACCCAACGGACCUGAUAUUGACGCCAAAAUCGAUGAAAUCAAAAACCAAUUGAGGCGCUCAGAGACUGCCAAAAUCAAAGCUGAGGCUCGAUUGGAGUGCCUUCAUGCUGGUGGAGUCAAAGUCGAUGAAUUCCUUCAAGACGCAGAGGGUCUGGUGACUCUUGGAUUGAUGAGAUCUUCUAGCCAGCUUUCUUUCCGAGAAUCAGCUCACGAGGAAUCUGAAUUCUCCGACAGCGGCUCUCGCGCUGGUGCCGAAACAACUCAGCAGGAUGAAGAAGAGGAAGAAGCCGCUGACGAAGCUUUCGUCGAGCAAGUGGUACAGCAGCAAAUUGCCGAAAUGCAGGCAACGUGGCAAGAUCCGACGGCCGCCUGGGAUACAACCGACGCCUGGGGAGACGACGCCGCUCAGCUCAACACCUCCGCCGCCAACACGACCACCACGUCUGUACAAAUUGAAACUGCCAGCAGCGUCACGGAUUCGGUGCAUGCCAGUGGAGAUGCCAGCGUCAUCAAAUGCAUCGCGUUCUAUCCCUACACGGCACAAAAUGCGGACGAGCUUUCCAUGAUGGAAAACGAAGAGCUGGAAGUGUUGCUGGCCUUUUCCGAAGGCGACGGAUGGGUCAAAGCCCGGAAUUAUAAGGGAGAGGAAGGCUACGUGCCUGAAAAUUACCUGGACCUGCACGCCGACGAUCAGGUGCCGUGUGGAGGUGACGAGGACGCCAACCAGAACGUCCAUCAACAUCCAGCUAUUGCGGAGGAAGUCGAGCCGGAAGAAGGGCACGAAGAAGAGGAAGAAGAAAUCGUUAGUGCAGAAGCGGAAGGAGGUUAUCCAUUGGAGAACCAAAUUUCCUUUUCUUCAGUCGACUACACUUAUCAGCAGCAAGGAAUGAGCGCCGAAGAAGAAGAUGAGUUCCCUGGGCCGACCGAAAGCGCUCCUUUACCUCCACCUCCUCCACCCAUUGCUGCCCCAGUCGUGGAAUCAUCUCCAGUUCCUGUCGCUGAUGGCCAAACAAACCGAAUCAUCGGCUACUGCCGGGCCAUGUACGACUACGACGCCACGUCUGAUGAGGAGUUGACCUUUUACGAAGGUGAAGUCAUCGCCAUUUUCCGUCGAUCCGGUGCUCUACACGAUCAGGACGUCGACGAUGGGUGGUGGGAGGGUCAGCUCCUAACGGACGGGACUAGAGGCGUCUUCCCUUCUUUGGUUGUCGAAGAAUGCGGUCCCAACGGCGAAGAAUUGACGCCAAAAGGAUGCCACGCCUAAGAUUGCCACUGUUAUGGUUAACGUAGAGCAGAUAAUGGAUUAUAACCCAUGAAAUGAAUGAAGCUGUCCUAUUGCCAGCAAUAUGAAAUCAAUCAUUUCAAUUUUCAACGUGAACGAACGUGAACGCCCAUCAGUCAGUUAUAUUUAGCUUUUCGAGUCGACAAACCCAUUUGAAAUGUUCCACAUGACUGGAUUGCAUAACUCGAUUAAAGGUAACAACUGUGCCACAAUCAAAACGUCAGAAGAGCUAAGUCGAAGCCGUUCCUGGAACAGUUUUGACAAAAUGCCACUAGUUUUCUGGCAAGGUCAGCGUCUUCUCCCAAUAAGACGUUUUGCCUUAUCCUUUCUCUUCCUCGAAUUGAAUCCUGGUUUUCCUCAUUUUGACGUCAUCACACUAAAAAUAUGUCCAGUGCUGCCAACCCUGUUUGGGUAAGAGAAGAAAGACCUUUCUACUGAAAAACUAGCGUCAACCUUUAACUUGGAUUUAGGUGGAUUUGAGCGGAAAAUAGUCUUCGCUUGAAAGAGAUGUAAUGGGGCGAGCACUGUUUCCAUCCGCAAAACUCGUUGGCAAAGCAUCUCAUCAAGGGCACUGAUAGAACUAGGCGUCGCCCAAACGUGUCCAAGAGUAAACAAACCCAAUUUAACCUUGUGAUCUUAAAUUCCAAGGUGGUUUGGCGCCUGUUUUUUUUCCGCAAUUGAAACCAUUUGUCGCAUAUAAAUACUUGACAACUGGAGGGAAAAGAUAUUCUUUCAGCGAAUUUCAUAGCGGCUACUACAGUCGCAAUUAACAUGAGUCGAUUUGGUGCUAUCGUGUUUGUUGCGGCAUUCGUGUUCUCGGUCAACUUGCAGAGAGCUGAAUCCUUCAGUCAUCACCGCAUUGGCAUCGACAAUAAAGAUUCUCACGAGCACUUAGUCGAUAGCAAGGAACUACAAGAAACGAGUAUCGCCCCAACUGACACCCAAUCUGACGAGCUGGUCGACUCCGAGGAAGAGAUAGUCGUGAAACGCCAUGUCCUUCUUCAACCAUCAACUGGUCAUUCGUCUGAAGAGGAAGAUGCAACUACUGAUAGUAAAAACGAAUCAAUCGAGGAUAGCGUCGACUCAAAAGAAAUCAAGUUGGUUAAAAGAGAUGUCCAAUUUACUACGACAACUGAUGGCCACUCAUCCGAAGAAGAUGUAACAACUGUACCAACAAUUUCUCUGGAAGACCUAUCAGUGGAAGACGACGUUGACGACGCAGAAGACAAGAAGAAAGUGAAGCGGAAUGUUCAAGUGACAAGCAUCGACCACUCGUCCGAAGAGGAAAGAUAUGCGGCAAUAGUCGGCCAGAUGAAUCAAUCUGACGAGCACGAUUAUGACGACUCGGCAGAAUUGUUUAAGCGAGAAAUCCACCAACUUACGGCCGGGGAAUUGGAGAUGCUGUUUCAACUUUUCCAUUUCGGUGCAGCAAACGGAACUCUUAUUGGCAGCCAUUCAGACGAGCAUCAUGAUUAUUUUGGACCUAUUGAGAAAAGGCAAUCCGGGCUACUGGCAACAACAACUGGCGGACGCUCUUCCGAAGAAAUGGAUGAUAGAUUCGACCAUUCAUUUGAAAAUUCGAUGGAAGAUGUACUUGAGAGAUUGGCGUCGGUCAAGUCAGCCGCCUGAUGAUUUGUUUUUGGUUAUUUCCCUUGUUAUAGAUUCAUGCAAAUAAAGAUCUACGUUGUUUCAUA
Daphnia pulicaria is the source of this 4206-nucleotide RNA transcript. It is a transcript of the gene named protein nervous wreck-like, with no coding region annotated. The record is from RefSeq and is a predicted model, not a curated record. The transcript has 21 exons. NCBI's taxonomy places the organism in Eukaryota, Metazoa, Arthropoda, Branchiopoda, Diplostraca, Daphniidae.